UGAAGACUAGCCCUCAGCACCAGGGCCAGAAACCAGCUGUCCUGACCCUCCAGAUUGCCACUGCCCCUGGGGAAGCACUGUGAGGUGUCAGAGGGUAGGGCAGGGCGGCUUCAGAGGCAUGGGGAGGUUGGCGAGGUGAUGAGGAAGAUCUCGUGCCCUCUUCCCACCACUGUCCAGAGGGCCCCGAGGCCUGGAAUGGGCCACAUAUGGACAAGGUGAUGCAGGGGGUCAGCAAUGGGCAUGACCAGGAACCCAGGCUCGGGCCAUCCAGCUGGAUCAUCCAGUCUACGGCACAGACAGAGGGGCAGAGCGAGCACACCCCGAAGAGGAAGCGGAGCCACCUCAGAGACUGUUGUUACAGACAGGACCCGGGACCUCAGAGACUCUCUACAGCAGGAGAGGGCCCAGGGGAAGGCGCUGCCACAUCCAGUGUGUUUCAUGCUCUGGGCAGAGAGCCCCGCACCCGGACUUAGAGACCUAGAGAGAGGCAGAAGGUGUGUGAGACACUCGGAGGAAGGAGAGCGCCAAGAGGGAGAGAGCCGGGGCCACCGGGACACCGCCCCGGAGCCUGGGCCGGGAGGGCGCGGGGCCGCCCGCUCAUCGCGCUGCAGAGGAGAGACGAAAUGAAUAUGCAGCGCGGGCUGUAAUUGGGCCGCCGCGGCCGCCGCCGCCGCCGCCGCACUAUAAUUUUCCAAACAGGAUCUUGCAAUCAGGGCCUUAUUCAUUAGCGCAUAAACAAUUUUGUUUCUCGG
RNAcentral lists this long non-coding RNA (752 nucleotides) under Vulpes vulpes (red fox). RNAcentral describes it as "lncRNA (ENSVVUG00000009424.1)". The record is from RNAcentral. Lineage: Eukaryota; Metazoa; Chordata; Mammalia; Carnivora; Canidae.